This 449-nucleotide ribosomal RNA is filed under the name uncultured bacterium. Its description in RNAcentral is "partial 16S ribosomal RNA". It matches the Rfam family "Bacterial small subunit ribosomal RNA", at positions 29 to 493 of the family's 1533-position model. The record is from RNAcentral.
AACGAACGCUGGCGGCAUGCCUAACACAUGCAAGUCGAACGAAGGCUUCGGCCUUAGUGGCGCACGGGUGCGUAACGCGUGGGAAUCUGCCCUUAGGUUCGGAAUAACAGCUGGAAACGGCUGCUAAUACCGGAUGAUAUCGCGAGAUCGAAGAUUUAUCGCCUGAGGAUGAGCCCGCGUUGGAUUAGGUAGUUGGUGGGGUAAAGGCCUACCAAGCCGACGAUCCAUAGCUGGUCUGAGAGGAUGAUCAGACACACUGGGACGGAGAAACGGCCCAGAGGCCUACGGGGGGCAGCAGUGGGGAGUAUUGGACAAUGGGCGCAAGCCUGAUCCAGCAAUGCCGCGUGAGUGAUGAAGGCCCUAGGGUUGUAAAGCUCUUUUACCCGGGAAGAUAAUGACUGUACCGGGAGAAUAAGCUGGACCCAUGACGGUACCGUAAGAAUAAGCAC